Molecule: ribosomal RNA, 253 nt
Filed under: uncultured prokaryote
Description: partial 16S ribosomal RNA
Rfam family: Bacterial small subunit ribosomal RNA
Source: RNAcentral
ACGUAGGAGACAAACGUUAUCCGGAGUUACUGGGCGUAAAGGGCGUGUAGGUGGUUUCGUAAGUCUGGCGUGAGAUUUUUCGGCUUAACCGGGAAAGGUCGUCGGAUACUGCGGAACUAGAGGACGGCAGAGGCGUGUGGAAUUCCGGGUGUAGUGGUGAAAUGCGUAGAGAUUCGGAGGAACACCAGUGGCGAAGGCGACACGCUGGGCCGUACCUGACACUGAUGCGCGACAGCGUGGGGAGCAAACAGGA